UACAGAGGGGGCAAGCGUUGUUCGGAAUUACUGGGCGUAAAGGGCGCGUAGGCGGCCUUCUAAGUCGAACGUGAAAUCCCCGGGCUCAACCCGGGAACUGCGUCCGAUACUGGAAGGCUUGAAUCCGGGAGAGGGAUGUGGAAUUCCAGGUGUAGCGGUGAAAUGCGUAGAUAUUGGGAAGAACACCGGUGGCGCAAGCGGCUCGCUGGGCCAUUACUGACGCUGAGGCACGAAAGCGUGGGGAUCAAACAGG
Molecule: ribosomal RNA, 253 nt
Filed under: uncultured bacterium
Lineage: Bacteria
Description: partial 16S ribosomal RNA
Rfam family: Bacterial small subunit ribosomal RNA
Source: RNAcentral